RNAcentral lists this ribosomal RNA (968 nucleotides) under human gut metagenome. RNAcentral describes it as "bacterial LSU rRNA". It matches the Rfam family "Bacterial large subunit ribosomal RNA", at positions 1960 to 2925 of the family's 2925-position model. The record is from RNAcentral.
CGAAAUUCCUUGUCGGGUAAGUUCCGACCUGCACGAAUGGCGUAACGACUUCCCCACUGUCUCGACCAGGAGCUCGGCGAAAUUGCAGUACGAGUAAAGAUGCUCGUUAAGCGCAGAAGGACGAAAAGACCCCGGGACCUUUACUAUACCUUGGUAUUGGCAUUAGGCGCGGAUUGUGUAGCAUAGGCGGGAGGCUUCGAAGCGGGUGCGCCAGCAUUCGUGGAGCCGCAAGGUGAAAUACCGCUCUGUUCUCGUUUGAUGUCUAACCUCGAACAGUCAUCCUGUUCAGGGACAGUGCCUGGCGGGUAGUUCAACUGGGGCGGUUGCCUCCCAAAGAGUAACGGAGGCGCUCAAAGGUCCGCUCAGCCCGGUUGGCAAUCGGGUGUCGAGUGUAAUCGCACAAGCGGGCUUGACUGCGAGAUCGACGGAUCGAGCAGGGACGAAAGUCGGAGAUAGUGAUCCGGUGCCGGCGCACGGGCGCGGCAUCGCUCAACGGAUAAAAGGUACCCCGGGGAUAACAGGCUGAUCAUUCCCAAGAGUCCAUAUCGACGGGAUGGUUUGGCACCUCGAUGUCGGCUCGUCGCAUCCUGGGGCUGGAGCAGGUCCCAAGGGUUCGGCUGUUCGCCGAUUAAAGCGGCACGCGAGCUGGGUUCAGAACGUCGUGAGACAGUUUGGUCUCUAUCCUCUGCGCUCGUUGGAAUCCUGAGGAGGCCUGCCCAUAGUACGAGAGGACCUGGGUGGACGAACCUCUGGUAUGCCGGUUGUCGCGCCAGCGGCACGGCCGGUUGGCUACGUUCGGGAGGGAUAACCGCUGAAAGCAUCUAAGCGGGAAGCCUGCUCCAAGAUUAGGAUUCCGUACGGUCUUGAACCGUUGUAGCCCGCAUGUUGAACACGUGUUUGAUAGGCCGGAGGUGGAAGUCCCGUGAGGGGUGGAGCCGACCGGUACUAACGGGCGACGGCGACACAAC